GAUGAACGCUGGCGGUCUGCUUUAACACCAUGCAAGUCGAACGAACUCUUCGGAGUGAGUGGCGGACGGGUGAGUAACGCGUGAGAAUCUGGCUGUGGGUCGGGGACAACCACUGGAACGGUGGCGUAAUACCGGAUGAGCCGAAAGGUAAAGAUUUAUUGCCCACAGAUGAGCUCGGCGUCUGAUUAGCUAGUUGGUAAGGU
RNAcentral lists this ribosomal RNA (203 nucleotides) under uncultured cyanobacterium. RNAcentral describes it as "partial 16S ribosomal RNA". It matches the Rfam family "Bacterial small subunit ribosomal RNA", at positions 28 to 258 of the family's 1533-position model. Lineage: Bacteria; Bacillati; Cyanobacteriota. The record is from RNAcentral.